Molecule: non-coding RNA, 656 nt
Organism: Camellia sinensis
Lineage: Eukaryota; Viridiplantae; Streptophyta; Magnoliopsida; Ericales; Theaceae
Source: RefSeq, a predicted model, not a curated record
GCUUCGGGAUUCUUGUUUGGGAAGAUGGGUUUUGUGAUUUUUACGAAUGCAAAAGAGCUGGAAACGUAAAGGGAAGGUUUGGAGCUGAUGUGUUCUUUAAAACGUCCCAUGAGGUGUACAGUUAUGGUGAAGGAAUGGUAGGUCAAGGAAAGUUGCAGCAGAUAAUAGUCACAAAUGGGUGUUUAAAGAUAACCCAUCUGAGAAUGAUUCUAGCUUCAUCACCUCAUGGAAUGUGUCAAUUGACCCACAACCAAGGGCGUGGCAAUUUCAGUUCCAUUCUGGAAUUCAGACAAUAGCCCUCAUUUCGAUUAGAGAAGGCAUAAUUCAAUUCCACUCAUUUGAUAAGAUUAUUGAAGAUCUCAAUCUGGUGAUAAGCAUACAGAGGAAAUUCAGCUACAUACAGCGCAUACCAGGCAUCUAUGCCAUUCAGAGACCAUACCAAUUCCAACCCAUUUAACAUCCAUACACAUUCAAACCCAUCAACAACCACGCUGCAUUUGAAUCCCAUGAUGACAAGUGCCACCACUUAACCGGAACAAAGAGAUUACUCUACGGCGGCAAAUAGGAAGAGGAGCCACCUCUCAAAUCCCUCAACCUAGGCUACAACACCACCACCACUUCAGGCGGCGGAGCACCACCACAACCACCACCACCUC